This 347-nucleotide long non-coding RNA is filed under the name Parus major (Great Tit). Its description in RNAcentral is "lncRNA (ENSPMJG00000000880.1)". Lineage: Eukaryota; Metazoa; Chordata; Aves; Passeriformes; Paridae. The record is from RNAcentral.
GCUGGACAUUGGGGCUGGAGCUCCUGGGACAGUGAAAGGUGUCCCUGCCCAUGGCAGGGGAGUUGGAAUGAGACAAUCUUAAAGGUCCCUGCUGUCACUGCCAGCCCAAACCAUUUUAUGGUGAUUCUGUAAUUUUAGAAGAUUUUACUGCUGUCUGAAACCAGGUCACCAUCACCCUCCUCUCACAUCACCUGAUCCAGUCAGCCUGAAAUCUGCUCUUUGUGCAUCAUCUCCCAAAGCUGGCUGAACUCUCUUCUCAGGGGUUAAAAACCUGCCAGAGACCUUCAGGAACAGCAGACACGAGCUCUCCACCCCCAGAGGCAGCACCCAGGUACAAAGGUUGAUCU